UUACAUAUGUUAUACUAGAUGAAGCAAACAAGUUAAGACGGUGGCUAUCCCGAACGGAGGUGGUGCUUAUGGUGUAAUCACUAUAAACCCAGAUUCUAGGAAAGGAAAUGCCUCAUGUCCCUUUCGGACACACUGCAAACGUUACUAGCUUUUGGUAUCUUUAUCAUCAGUUUACUAACGUUUGUAG
Leuconostoc citreum KM20 is the source of this 187-nucleotide non-coding RNA. NCBI's taxonomy places the organism in Bacteria, Bacillati, Bacillota, Bacilli, Lactobacillales, Lactobacillaceae. The record is from Rfam.